Molecule: ribosomal RNA, 253 nt
Filed under: uncultured bacterium
Lineage: Bacteria
Description: partial 16S ribosomal RNA
Rfam family: Bacterial small subunit ribosomal RNA
Source: RNAcentral
CACGUAGGGCGCGAGCGUUGUCCGGAAUUACUGGGCGUAAAGCGCACGUAGGCGGCUUUCUAAGUCGGGGGUGAAAUCCUGGAGCUCAACUCCAGAACUGCCUUCGAUACUGGAGAGCUUGAGUCCGGGAGAGGUGAGUGGAACUGCGAGCGUAGAGGUGAAAUUCGUAGAUAUUCGCAAGAACACCAGUGGCGAAGGCGGCUCACUGGCCCGGUACUGACGCUGAGGUGCGAAAGCGUGGGGAGCAAACAGG